Long non-coding RNA from Homo sapiens (human), 1319 nucleotides. Ensembl annotates it as long intergenic non-protein coding RNA 929. NCBI's taxonomy places the organism in Eukaryota, Metazoa, Chordata, Mammalia, Primates, Hominidae. The record is from Ensembl.
AGUUAGCUCAGGGGCUCUUCAAGUAUUUGACUUAUGACCUAAGUAGCUGGGCAGGCUGCUCGCCCUGGGAGGGGCAGUCCCUGCAGGGUCAGCAGGGCCCCAGAUGUCGAAGCGUCAGAGUACAGAAAUCAAAGAUGUUUGGUGCAGUGUGUGUGUCUGCUGGUGUGACAGGAAGACAGACCAGCAGCAAGGGAGCCUUCUGCAGAAUUCCACAUUAAACAGGAUGAAGAAUAGGUUGUUAGCAGACUGAGGUACUUGGGGCAACAUUUCGUACACAACAGGAGGGAGAAACGACUCCAGGUUGUCUUGUGGUAGAGGAGAUUUUGCCUUGCAAUUUUACAUACUUAUGCUACGUGGAAGGCUGGGUGGCGUGACUUCAGAAAAAUGUUUCCUCAGGAAAGAGACACACAGAGAGAGAGAGAAAGAGAGAAAGAGAGAACCCACCUACCUGUUUUGCAAAAGUCUCAUGAAUCAUCCCUUCCUGUGGUCCUGCUCCCUGAGAUCCUUUCACCGCUCACAGUGGGCUACUUCUAAGAGCGUGCCUGGCACAGGGUCACUGAGAGCAUAGUCUUAAUAAAACAAUGAUGGAUGCUUGUCUCUCUCACUGGGUGCCAUGCACUUUGAUCAGAAGCUUUAAGAAUGUUUUCCUCCACUGUCUAGUCACAGCCGUAUUAAAUUACACAAGGCAUGGGAAGAGGCAUAAUCUGUUGAUGAUAAAUCAGAAUUAAUGAGAGUUUAACAAGCCUGCUAAAUACUAAGUCAAUGUAAAAAAUCAAUUGUAAGCCCAUCUAUCAGAAAAACACUAUUAGCAAGCAAAAUUUACAUUUUUACUGCUUAACAUAGCAUCCCAAAUAUCAAGUACCUAGCAACAAAUCUAACGAAAGAUAUGCAAGACUUAUAGAGAAAACAGCAACAGCAACAACUUUGUUUAGAUACAUUAGCGAAGAUCUCAUUACAUGGAGACAUACACUAUGCUCAUGGACUGGAAGACUCCAUAUGGAAGAUGCCAAUUCACAUCUCAGAAUCUCAGCAGGUGUUGCAAAGAACCUGAAAAUUUGUUUUAAAAAUUCAUGUCAAAAUGCAAAGGUCCUACAAUUGCCAAAGAAAAAUAGGGAGGGAGGACCACCUGAUAUCAGCGGUGAUUAUAAAACAAUAAUAAAUGUGAUACCUUGCCUUAAGUCUGGGGAUAGACAAAUAGACGAGGGGCGCAGGUUGGAGAAUCCAGAAACUGACCCAUGAAUACAUUGACACUUGAUAUAUGACAGAAAUGGCCCCCAAAGCCAUGGGUGUCUGGGCAUAUAGUAUCCAUACAGAAAAAA